GGGUGAGGCAGGGGCUGGCAUGAGCUGACCUACACUGUGGGAAGAUGCCUCUCGACAAGGACAGAAGCAGGAACAAGCCUGCAGGCGGGGAGGCUGGGGAUGGUGCUGGUGACCAGGGGGAUGGAGACAGUGGACAGAUCCAAGGACCAAGGCCAGUGGGCUGGGCAGUAGACUAUAUUUGAGAGGCUGGAGGAGACGACAGUGACCUAGGCCAGUGACAGAAGCCCAUGCCUUCAGGGUAGGGAGCCUCCUCCUGCUCCAGCAGCUGCUCUCCAGGACAGAUCAGCCAGGGGUAACCCUGGGGCCCAGGCCUCUAUCCCCCAUCUUGGUGAUGCUGGAGAGAGGGUGCAGGGCAGAGAGUCAUGGCCUUGCUGCCCUGUCUGGGGGUGGCAACUGUCGAAUCGCCUGCACAGUAACCAUCUGGAACCCUGGGACACAGGCAAGGCCACAGGGACCAGUUCUUGCUCCACGGCCUUCUUUUGUCAGCAUCACCCCCAUUUUCCAGAUGAAGGAAGGAUCUGACACUCAAAAGAGAGCUCCCCUCGGCUGUGACAUCUUCAGAAGGAAACAUCUCAGCUCUGAAGUGCUGACUUCCCUCUUGCUGCAGGACACAGCGAGAAGGCAGCCUCUGUAAGCCAGGAAGAGAGGCCCUGCCAGAGCCCGGCCACGUUGGUGCCUUGCUCUUGGACUUCCAGCCUCCAG
This 702-nucleotide long non-coding RNA is filed under the name Equus asinus (donkey). RNAcentral's name for it is "lncRNA (ENSEASG00005033313.1)". Lineage: Eukaryota; Metazoa; Chordata; Mammalia; Perissodactyla; Equidae. The record is from RNAcentral.